UCCACCCUGUACAUUGAUUUAUAACUAUUUAUUAUAAGUAGUUUUUAAGAAGUGAUUUAUCGUUAGUAAGUUUUUUUCCCUGAAAAAUAAAACAUUAGGAAAGAAAGUGAUAUGAAUAGACCAUAAUUGUUCAGAAUAUUUGGAGAUUAUAACGGUGUUUUGUUAUGCAUGCCACAGUAAUUAGUUCUUAGGAAAUUGAGGUAAAGAAAGUUUGGAAUUUUAAAUAUGUUUGUUUAAUGAUAGGAAUAUUUAGAUAAUUAUAAUUUCCGAAAAGUCGUAAGUUUGGGUAGGAAUAUUUUUGAGAGAAUGCCUGUUUGUUUUCAAAUAAAAAAAAAGAAGGUGGGGAGAUAAAUGUUUCUGAUUGGCUAGGCACUUUGGAAUGGGGAAAGUUUUGUUUUGAAUGUUGAGAUAGUUUUGGAAAGAGGAAAUCAUUAUGUGAUUGGCAUCGCUGAAGAGCAGUCAAGGUUUUCGUGGAUAGUUAGAUAGCAAGUACCAGUGGGUGUUUUGAUAGUGGAGAAUAGAGCUGAAAAGUGGAACGAGAGACAGAUCAAAUUGAGACGAAAUACCUCUUUGAUUCUGUAUUAUUGUGAGAAGAAGAGGAGAGAAUUUUUGGAGUUUGUGUUUUGUUGGAGAAUUGGUGCUGGUAUGCUGAUAGAUUUGAAGCUUGAGAACGGAGAGGGCUUUGAUGGGUAGCCUAACAUAGUCAACGAGGGAGAGCUGUUUUGGGUCAAGAGAAGACAUCAGAGUGAGUGAAGCAAAAGAUCACUACUCGACAUUUGCCAUCAAAGUUUUUAGAAGUGGCAGAUGUAAACCAAGGCUCUGAAUCUGAAAUAUCGUUAAGGGUUGCAGUUACGAGACAUUCAAUUGGAUCAGGAGAAGGUUAUGUCAGAUGCAGCUACAACAAAAACUGUUCCACAAACAGAUGAAAGUGAAAGAAGGCUCUGCAAUAAUUUCUAAGUGAACUCCAUGUAAAAAGCACGUAGCACUCCAUGUAAAAAUAAAUAAUGAUCUUAAAAUUGAGGUAUUGGAUGCUUCAGAAGUCAAACGGUGUAAGUCACAUUCUCCCUAAAAUGACUUAUGAAUACAUAUUAUGAUAUAUAAUAAUAUUGUAAUUUCCUUGUGUGUAUUUAUGAAUAUAAUACUUAUAUUAUGAUAAAUAAAAAGAGUUUAUUUAUUUUUAGUGACUCCUUAUUUUUCAGCAACUACUUUCACAAACAUCUUCUUAUCUCAUUUUAAACACUUAUUGACUUACACCGAUUGGCUUCUGAGGCAUCGAUUACUGCUUUUAUAUAAUAACACUUAUUAUUUGUUAUAAUAUGAUUAUUUGUAUUACCAAUUAUGCGUUAGUUUUAACAAUGAAUCAUUAUCGUAUUAAUAAAAAUGAUUAUUUACCAA
Diabrotica virgifera virgifera (western corn rootworm) is the source of this 1395-nucleotide long non-coding RNA. RefSeq lists it as uncharacterized. NCBI's taxonomy places the organism in Eukaryota, Metazoa, Arthropoda, Insecta, Coleoptera, Chrysomelidae. The transcript is spliced from 2 exons. The record is from RefSeq and is a predicted model, not a curated record.